This 462-nucleotide ribosomal RNA is filed under the name uncultured bacterium. RNAcentral's name for it is "partial 16S ribosomal RNA". It matches the Rfam family "Bacterial small subunit ribosomal RNA", at positions 28 to 507 of the family's 1533-position model. The record is from RNAcentral.
GAUGAACGCUGGCGGCGUGCUUAACACAUGCAAGUCGAACGGAAAGGCCCUUCGGGGUACUCGAGUGGCGAACGGGUGAGUAACACGUGGGUGAUCUGCCCUGCACUUUGGGAUAAGCCUGGGAAACUGGGUCUAAUACCGAAUAGGACCACGCGCUUCAUGGUGUGUGGUGGAAAGCUUUUGCGGUGUGGGAUGGGCCCGCGGCCUAUCAGCUUGUUGGUGGGGUAAUGGCCUACCAAGGCGACGACGGGUAGCCGGCCUGAGAGGGUGACCGGCCACACUGGGACUGAGAUACGGCCCAGACUCCUACGGGAGGCAGCAGUGGGGAAUAUUGCACAAUGGGCGCAAGCCUGAUGCAGCGACGCCGCGUGAGGGAUGACGGCCUUCGGGUUGUAAACCUCUUUCAAUAGGGACGAAGCGCAAGUGACGGUACCUAUAGAAGAAGCACCGGCCAACUACGUG